GGUGGGGUGGCCGAGCGGUUUAAGGCGGCAGUCUUGAAAACUGCUAUACCAGAAAUGGUAUCGUGAGUUCGAAUCUCACCCCCACCGCCA
This 90-nucleotide transfer RNA is filed under the name Candidatus Harrisonbacteria bacterium RIFCSPLOWO2_01_FULL_40_28. Its description in RNAcentral is "tRNA-Ser". It matches the Rfam family "tRNA". Rfam says of the family: Transfer RNA (tRNA) molecules are approximately 80 nucleotides in length. Their secondary structure includes four short double-helical elements and three loops (D, anti-codon, and T loops). Further hydrogen bonds mediate the characteristic L-shaped molecular structure. tRNAs have two regions of fundamental functional importance: the anti-codon, which is responsible for specific mRNA codon recognition, and the 3' end, to which the tRNAs corresponding amino acid is attached (by aminoacyl-tRNA synthetases). tRNAs cope with the degeneracy of the genetic code in two manners: having more than one tRNA (with a specific anti-codon) for a particular amino acid; and 'wobble' base-pairing, i.e. permitting non-standard base-pairing at the 3rd anti-codon position. The record is from RNAcentral. Lineage: Bacteria; Candidatus Harrisoniibacteriota.